Molecule: unclassified non-coding RNA, 205 nt
Filed under: uncultured Mycosphaerellaceae
Lineage: Eukaryota; Fungi; Ascomycota; Dothideomycetes; Mycosphaerellales; Mycosphaerellaceae
Rfam family: Eukaryotic small subunit ribosomal RNA (bases 1-64)
Source: RNAcentral
GUCAUUUAGAGGAAGUAAAAGUCGUAACAAGGUCUCCGUAGGUGAGCCUGCGGAGGGGUCAUUACUGAGUGAGGGAGCAAUCCCGACCUCCAACCCUUUGUGAACGCAUCAUGUCGCUUCGGGGGCGACCCUGCCGUUCGCGGCAUUCCCCCCGGAGGUAAUCAAAACACUGCAUUAUUACGUCGGAGUAAAAGUUAAUUUAAUA